UACGUAGGGCGCAAGCGUUGUCCGGAAUUAUUGGGCGUAAAGAGCUCGUAGGCGGCUUGUCACGUCGGGUGUGAAAGCCCGGGGCUUAACCCCGGGUCUGCAUUCGAUACGGGCUAGCUAGAGUGUGGUAGGGGAGAUCGGAAUUCCUGGUGUAGCGGUGAAAUGCGCAGAUAUCAGGAGGAACACCGGUGGCGAAGGCGGGUCUCUGGGCCGUAACUGACGCUGAGGAGCGAAAGCGUGGGGAGCGAAACAGG
Molecule: ribosomal RNA, 254 nt
Filed under: uncultured bacterium
Lineage: Bacteria
Description: partial 16S ribosomal RNA
Rfam family: Bacterial small subunit ribosomal RNA
Source: RNAcentral